AAAAAAUUAGUUAAUUACUUAUAACAUAAGCUUGUCAAACUUAAAUUAUCACUUAGAUAUUUUUUA
RNAcentral lists this transfer RNA (66 nucleotides) under Polycheles baccatus. RNAcentral's name for it is "tRNA-Asp". RNAcentral also lists the same sequence under 1 other name. The record is from RNAcentral. Lineage: Eukaryota; Metazoa; Arthropoda; Malacostraca; Decapoda; Polychelidae.